Molecule: long non-coding RNA, 9933 nt
Filed under: Gossypium raimondii (Peruvian cotton)
Lineage: Eukaryota; Viridiplantae; Streptophyta; Magnoliopsida; Malvales; Malvaceae
Description: long non-coding RNA (GRAI_LNC003621)
Source: RNAcentral
UAAUUUUUUUAACGUUUAGAAAGCCCUUUUCCUCUGUUGAAAAAGCUGAAAUUUUUAGCUUUUUCGAAAUGAAAAGUGCUUUUGGCUUGUUAAUUACUAAUUUCUUCUUCAUUUUUUCUUCUCUCUGGUUCUCUUUUCUUUCCUUCCAUUCUUCCAUUUUCUUCAAGGUCUUGAAGGUAGGCUGCUCUCAUUCUCUCACUCUCUCUCUUUCUACUCCUCCUAAUCCCAUCUUCUCAUUUUAACUCCCCAUUUAAUUUUUUGUUUUGUUUUUUUCCCCCAUUUCAGGUGAGCUUCCACGCUAUAACAAUUUGUUUUUGGUUUCCCAUUUCCUUCCACCGGUGAGCUUCUUCUCUUCUACACCCAUUUUUUCUUCUUUUCAUGUUUGAUCAUUAAUUUGGCUGUAAACCCAUCUUUAAUUAUGCUUAUUUACCUGCUUUUUUUUUUCCUUCACACAUUGACAGACCCUAGUUUAAGGAUCAAUCAAUGGUUUUUGCCUUUCUCCCUAAUUAUAUAAAUUUUCAACUAAGUACGAUAAUUACAUCCUUGCUAACUUGGUUGAUUUUGAAGAGAUGAUUACAUGAUUAACCUAUGUUGAGUUAAUGUAUAUAUUGGAUUUUUUGGCAAGCCAAGAUUCUAGGAGUUCAUCAAUAAUUAUAGAACCAAUUAUUGAUAAGCAAGUAAUUGAAGUAGCUAAUUAUACAAAAUGAUUGACUGCCAUAGAAAUACGUAGUUCAUUGCUAAAGAAUGUUCAUUUCAGUGAAUACUAAUAUUAAAACUAAGUUAUAUGGUGAUCUUACAAUGUUCUAUUGAAUAGUUUUUCGAGAACUAACUUGGUGAGGACAAAAGUAAGCAAUUACGCUAUGUUCUAUUUUUAGCCAAUUUGCAAUCUUUAGGAAUAUAAACAAAGUUAAUUCCAAACUUGCUCUCAAAACUGAACUUUUCCAUGAUUUGUUUUGUAUAAGAGACAAUUUUAUUCAAUUUUACUCCUAGUUAGACAUUUUUACCUUAAAUUAUUGCAGUCAUAGAAAUCUCUGUGUCUAUAAAUAUCUAUUUGUUUUAAAACUGUUUCAGUGGUUUAUAAACUGUGCAAACUCCCAAAAUUUGACAUGGUUGCUUAUUUUUCAUCUUUGUUUUAUGAUUACUUCUUUAGCAUGUCUUACCUUUUAUUAAUUUUAAUUUAUAUUGUGUAAUUUCUUUUAAGAUUAUUCCUUUAGAGAACAAAUAAAAUUUUGGUUUAGUUUAAAAUUUUUUAUGUUAUUAAUAUGCCUUUCGAUACUUUAAUAACUUGUGCAGAAAAUUAAAUUUGGAUGGACAAAAAUUUGUAAUUUUGCUUUAAAGAAUUUGGAUAUGUUUUUUGGAGAAAGAUUAAUCCAUAUUUCAUAAUCUUUUUAAAUAUUAACUUUGGUGGAUUGUGUGAAUCUUUUAGUCUGGGACAAGUAGCCCUAAGGCUUCCCCACCUGUAAGAAUUAUUCAAGAGUUCAAGAGUCCACUAGUGGCUUUCGUUUCAAAGGGUGCUCGGAAUAAUUAGGGACAAAUGCAAAGUACAAAAAUAUAUUGUUUCCCCUCAUAAAAUAUUUCUGCAGAAAGGUUCCUACAUCCUUCAUCACCAGUGUUAUGAGCAAGGCUUCAUUAUACCCAUUUUAUAUAUACACCAAUUAUGAUUAAUUUGAUUAAGGUUAUUAUACUUUGUUUUUUCUUUUCUUCUGUUAAAUGAAAAAAAUUCAUAAGCAUGGACUGAUGAAUACAUCUAAAUAUAACGGUAUUAAUUCUAGAUGGAACAUUCUUUGGUGUCAAUUAUAAAAACAAUAUGCUUAACUUAUAUAAUUAAGAGUUAAUUUGAAGUAUGAAGCUAUAAAUUUAACACUAGAAUAUUUCUUGAUGCAAUUCUAGAUUUAAAAUACAAAUUAUCGCACCCACCAAAUGAUAAGAUAUUUCAUUUUUUUAAAUAAUUAAGUAUAAGUUCUUUAAUUGAUAAUUUUAAAAAAUAAACAAUUCUUGAAUUAUUUGUUUGUUAUAUUAUGACUUGUACGAAAAUAUUAUCUUGUUGAUUCUGAAUAUUUUCAAAUGAAAGGUUAUCUUGGACCAUAUAGGGGUCAACGAUAUCAGUUACCUGACUUUCGUAGGGGUAGAACGAUAUUUGGUAAAAAAGAGAUAUUCAACUAUUCAUAUUUAUCAUUACGUACUGUGAUUGAACGAACUUUUGUGUUUUGAAAAAAAAAUAGGUCAUUUUAAGGGAUAUGCCAAGUUAUAGUUUUGAAAAGCAAAUGAUGAUCGUUAUUGCUACAAUGGCGAUACACAAUUUUAUCCGAAAAAUGUCGGUUGAAAUGAUGUAGAUUUUAUGAAAUACGAAAAUAUUAAUAGGGUAUAUGAUAAUAUUAUUGAUCUAGAAGAUGUGCAAGAUGGAGAAAGUGAUGAUGAUGAUGAUGGUGGUGGUGAAUUAACAAGAGAUGAUAUAGCUUCUAGUUUAAUGAAUUCACUUCAAAUUAUAAAUGCUAAUGUAAAAUUUUUGAUGAUGUAUUUGGCAUAUAAAUAUUACCCCUUUUUGAAACUUUAAUCCAAAUGCAUGUAAUAUUUUAAUUUGUUAGGUUUAUGUUUUCUAUGUUAUGGUAAUAUGGGUUAUAUAUUCAAAUUAUAUUCUAAAAUAAAAUAAUACAAAUGUGUUAAAAUAAUUAAUUAAAAAUAACUUUUUAAAAAAAAAUAAUAUUGUGUUAAUCUCUAAUUAAAAAUAUUUAAUGAUUAUAAUUAAAUAUUUAAAAUAUAGUUUAUAUAUUGUAAUUAAAUUUUAUAAAUAAUUAAUAUUAAUUACUUAGAAAUAUUUAAAAUUAAUAUUUCAUAUAUUAAAAUAUUAACAAUAAGUUAUAAUAAAUUACUUUUUUAUAUUCUUGCUAAUAUUAACUAAUUUAAAUUUUAUUUAAAUGUAUAUUUGUUACUUUAUAAUAUCACGUCUAAAAUGGACAUUUUAUUUCUCAAAAGCACUUUUUGGCGGCAAUAUUAAACACUUAAAUUUUAAAUUAAAAUUUUCGAAAGUAAUUCUCAAAAGUACAUUUUCACCACAUUUUUUAAAAACAUCUUUUAAAAGUAAUGUUAAACUAACCCUAAGUGUUUUAGCAACUUAUUCUUGAAUGGUUACCCGUCUUGUUGAUUUUAGGCCACCUAUUUUUCUAAUAUAACAAAUAAAUAAAUAAAUAAAUAAAAACCUAAGUACCAUUCUUAUAAUAUUUUGACUUUUCUCAUUACCAACAAUUUGACUCAUCAUUUUAUCUCUAACUUGAUCUGUUUCUAAACUCAUGUCAUGAUUAGUAAUUUCUCUUCUUGUACAUACCAAUAAACAACUCAACACACAAGAUAGACUACUUCCCUUGGAAGUCUUUCUCUCCACAAGUAUUCAAUCAUUCUAUAGUAAAAAAAUAUAUACAUAUAACAUGUAGUAAAUCUAAUAACAAAAGUAUUUACUCUUUUAGCUUGAAAUCGUUGGAGGUCUAAGAAAGUUUUAGUAAUUCAAAGAAAUACCAGCGCCUACAAUUAAAGAGAGAAAAACACCGCAUCGGUUGAGUUACCAACAAUCAAACAUUUUAUUAUAAAUAUCGAACAAAGUAAAUUUAGCUGUUAAAAGUAAUCCAAGAAUGCGUAGAAAAUUCUCUUUGGUAGUGUAAGCACUUGAAUGUGAAAGGGUUUUUAGUGUGAAAUUUUUUUGAUAGCUCAAACAUGAGUUAAAUAGGUAAAAAAAAAUCUGGUAAGUUAAUUUAUUGAAAACAAUAUUAAAUUUAAAAGAGUUCUAAAAUUCUUAAAAAAGGUAAAAAAUCUGCUAUGUUAAUUUAUUGAAAACAAAAUUAUAUCUAAAAGAGUUUUCAAAUUCUUAAAAAGAAAAUAGAUAAUGAUAAGUUUUACUAUUAAUAACAAAUCCAAAACCAAUUGAUAGGUAAAAAUGAUACAUAAUUUAGACAAAUUGAUAAAAGUACUGAAAUGUCUUCUCCGUUGUUAAGAAAUAAUUUGCACAAUUAAAGUGAUGCCUAAGAUGGUGGACACUCCUUUAAGUACUAAAUGGUUAAUAGUAAAGAAAUUGACCAUAGGAAGGUUGUUUAUGCAAUCCGAUUUUCCUAUGUUUGCGAAGCCUAUGUUAAUGAAAAAUAUGCACUCUUUUCAACAAUUAAAAAGUGAACCUACUAAAUCACACCCACUGUGAUAAUUUUCCUCACCCUUGUACUUUGAAGAUACAAUACUCUUACCACUAUAUUCACCCCUCGUGAAUAGAAUAAGUAAAACCACCACACAAAGGUUUUACUAUCAAUAUAGCACUCAUACAAAAUUAUUCUCAUAAGGACAGAUUAAGUGCUUAACUCUCUGUACAUUCACUUAGGCAAGUCUCUCAAAUAUAUAGAUUUAAAAUUUGAAACUUGAUUAAAAAUGAAGAUCUAAUACAAUCCCACUAAAACAACAAUACAUUAUAAUAAUAACAUAUAAAAAAAUUAAGGACUCUUGGUGGCUCAUCCGACAGAAUAACUAUUCAUCCAAAGUCCACAAUCCAAGGGAUUGUCUUGAGAAAUUUUGGUACAAUCCAAUAACCAAAAUAACAUUUUCAAGUAAUAUGAUCUUCCACAAUGGACAAGAUAUCAUCCAUAUAAUCAGCAUAACUCAGAUAAAAGGUUCAAUAAAUUGCCUACACCUUAAUAUGGAACUUGCCUCCAUACAGAUUUUGUGGGCAAGAGAGUGGACACUUCUUCUGACACGAAAUUGUCACGUUCAUAUCUUUCAACAAUUACAAUGAAAAUCUUAAGAUUCCUUUUUAAAUUUUAACAAAAAGUUGUUAAAAUAUUUUUAACUAUGUAAUUAUAAUUGAUAGCACAUUUAAAAUUUAUAGAGUUGUAAAAAUCUUAAACAAUUUAUAAAAUAUAAAGUUAACUUUUUUUGGUGAAAAAGAAAAAGGGACACAAAUAUAAGAAAUUAAAUUAUCCCUCCCAUGGGGGAUCCUUAAACAAUUUUAAUCAUAUUCUCAUGUCUUGAACCAUCUUGACAAGGUCAUCUGCUACUUCAUUUUCUUCUCUAGGAAUAUGUUAUAAUCUCCAUAUCCCUAUGGAUGCUAAGAGUUGGUGAAUUAUCCUGACCAAAGAAGAACUGGUAUCUCCAAAUGAUCUACCUUGAAUGGCGUUAACAGCUUCAAGUUUGUCAGUUUGAAUUAGAACACUCUCAAAACCCCGAUCUAGUAUAAGUGUUGUCCAUCCAAUAUGCCUUAUAGUUCAGCAUCUAGCAUAGUACAACUACCUAAAUAUCCAUUAAAGCCAAAGAUCUACCCUCCGUUUCGAUCGCACACUAACCCCCUAGCUGCAGCAAACCCAACACCGAACAUAACAAAAGGAUCCGUACUUAAUCGCACCCAAUUACUUGUCAAGGGUGAACUAACGGUUCUUCUUUAUGUUUUAGAUGUUGACACCUUAAAGAUAGAAGCGUACUACUUUGCCUAACUGUAAGACUCUUUGGCGAUUGCACCAACACUUCAUAAGAUGCCCUGAAAAGUGAAAAGAUUACGGUUCUUCGAGAUGCGCCAAGUAAGAAUCCUAAAGAGGCAGUGCCAAUCCAUCCCUCCCAAACGGAAAGUCUGCUGAUUAUGCAGAUUCUCCAACAUCCACUCCCGAAGAGAUCCGGAGAAAAAACUAGAGAGUCUUUUUGUUGGAAUUAGAUUAUUCCAAAUGUCCCUACCCGUAAGACAAUCCAUAAGGACAGGUCACACAUCCUCGAAAUCAUGCUCGCAGGCUUCAAAAGCAUUAUCAUUUCCUAUACAUCGCCUCACCCUUUUCACUUUAGUGAGAAAACACUGUUUAAGAACAAGCCAUAUGAAAAAUCUAACCCUUUAAGGCCAUUGAAACUUCUAAGGAAGUUAUCAAACCGUCUCUUUAGAAUUCCAUGAUCCCUCUCAAAGUUUCCUAUAGGCACUUUUAAGGGAGAAGGAACCGGUCAAAGUACCCCCAAAUGAUUCUAAUUCUAUCAGGUCCAGAAGUUGGAUGGGGAAACAGAACCCCCACAAUCCUAUUAAUGGUCCCCUCAGGUACCCAUAGCUGAAAGAGAUCCAAAUUCCAAAAAUCAUCCUCUAUAACCAUAUCACUAAGUGAAAAAUCCAUAUCAAGGUUAGAAAUGGAAGAAAUCUGUCUAAAUAAGGGCUCAACAUUCGAAAUCCAAUUGUCUCACCAACAAUUGAUGCUUCUUCCAUCCGUAAUAGACCAAAGUAAUUUCUCACAAAUUAGAGGCCAAACCUUAGAGGUGGUCCUCCAUAAGGAAGAGCAUUUCCCUUUCGAUAAUGUCUUAGGCAAACCACUUUGAACCUAUACUUUUUUGCACCAUUGUAGGAUCUUAGAUAAAUUUUUUGACCAUAUGCUCAAUUUCAUCACACAAGCCUUUAGGAAUCAUCAUUGACUACAUAAAAUAACUCAAAAUCGAAAGCAAGACUGAUUGUGCCAAAGUGGACCUACCAGCUAGAGAAAGUUGUCUAGUGUCCCAACUAAAAAGUUUACUACUCACCUUAUCGGUAGCAAAUCUCAGAGUGUUGUAGUGACAUUAUCAUGAAAGAGGGUAACUCCUAGAUAGGAACCAAGAUUCUACACUUUCUAGAACCGAAGAUUUAAACGCCCCCUAUGUCCUCUUUCACACUUUUCGAAAAAAGAUGUUAGUUUUUUGCAUAUUAAUCUGGUGACCCAAAAACUCAUAGAAAUUCUCUAGUACUCCUUUAAUUACCCUAACUUGAUGCUCCUUUGCUUGACCAAAGAGAAUCAAAUCAUUUGCAAAGAAAAGAUGAGACAGGGGUGGACCUGUUCAAGAUAACAAAACUCCUUGAUGGAUACCCCCUGUCAGCCGAAACUUCUAAGUUGGAACCUCAUUCCAUAUAAUCUACAUAGAAGAACUUGAUAUAGCUAACAUAAUGACAUUAUAGAGUAGGUUAAGAAUUCCUGCUGCCUGGAGAGAGGCAUCGAUGAACACCCAAUGCACUCAAUCAUUUGCUUUUUCUAGAUCAAUUUCGAUGGUCAUCCAUUUCCUAUUCUUCUACUUAACCUCUGGUGUGAUGAUAAUGUUAUUGGUGAUAGUCAUACCCGCAAUAAAGUCGGCCUAUUUAGGAGAAAUAAUAUUUCAGAAGACAACUUUGAAUCGAUUGGCAAUGACCUUCAUAACUAGUUUGUAAAGGAUCUAGUGUAAGCUUAUUGGACGAAAGUGUGAAAAGACCCUAUUAACCUAAUUACAUAUAGAGGCACCGACAUGCUCCCAUUGAGCAUGAUAGAAUAGUGCAUGGAAACCAUCAUUACCUGAAGCCUUCAGAGGUGCCAAAUCAAAUAGAGUUGCCUUAAUUUCAUCGUUUAACGCCGAUUUACCUAGGAAUUAGACCUCUCUAUCCUCAAGAUGAGGGAAAGCGCAAGCAAGUAAAUUUGUCAUCGGUAUUGGAUGCUCUCCAUAUAACUUCUCAAAAAAUUUAACUGUCUCGUUUUUCAGUUCUUCCUCAUAAAAAAUCCAAUCUCCUAGAUCAUUUUCCAGAGUGGUAAUAUGAUCCUGUUUCCUCCUCUAGCACGUAUGUCUAUAGAAAAAUUUGGUGUUACAAUCACCCAAAUAUAACAAGUCACACCUUGCCUUCUGACACUAUAAAAGCUCAUUAAGAAGAAGAACAUUUUCCAACUCCUCUCUUGCCUCUACUUCAACCUGGUUUUGUCACACUCCAAAGUUGGGCCUAGAAGUUUCUAGGGUAAUUUAGGGAUUUGCUCUCAAAAUGUGUUUAGAAAUUCGAAGCAUGGUAAACAAUAAAUGCCUUCGUCUAUGGCUUUUAGGAAGUUAAUUCAAUUUUUGAAAAAGAAGUAGAAAAGACCUUUAACUUUAAAAUAUGGUAUAAGGGGGGGUUAAAAUUAGGAGUACCUCAAGGGUAAAUAUACUAAAGUUUAAAAUUGUCCUAUUCCUUCCCUCCACCUACAGUAAACUCACAAAACUAUUCCCCUCACCUUUUGUUGCUAUCCUUUGAUUUUCCAAACUUCAAUCCUUAUAAUUUCCAUCAUCUUUCAAGCAUUAAACCUCCCUAGAAUUUCAAGAAAAACAUAAAAAAAACAUCAUUGAUUUAGCUAUUGUUCAAAUUGUAGGUUUUCUCAAAUUGGCUAUCAAACGUUCAUUUUUCUCUCAAUGAAGCUAAUGUUUCAUUUUCCUAUUAGUUUUUGAUGAAAUCUAGCCUUUUAAAUUGAGUUUUUAUUCAUUGAAUCAAAAGUUAUGAAUAUAUGUCGAAUUUUGGGUCGUUAAUGGUGGAAUUUGGGAAUUUGAAUGAAAACAAUGUUUCAAAGUGUUUUUCAACUUGUUUUGAUGUGCUUAUAAGGUUUCUAAACUUUUUUUAAAGUUUUGAUAAAGAAUCCUAAGGUUUUAUUAAGUUUUCAUGAAAAUGACCAUUCUAAGGUUUUGAAACCAUGGAUCUGUGUAGUUUUGUGUACUUUGAAGAUUGAGAAUAAUUUUUAGGUAAUUAAUUAGAGGUUUGGUAUCAGUUCUAGGUAAUGAGAUUGAGUUAAAAUUAAGAUAUUUUGGUUUUGGAUUUGCAAGUCGAAAAUUUCAGUUCUAAGAGGAAGGAACCUUAGACCUGGGUUUUUGAUUGUUUGGGUGUGCCUAUAGCUGUAAUUACUUAUGUUUGUUGUGUGGUUAGUUUUGGUGAAGAUUCGAAAUCGUUGGAGCCUUCAACGAGUAAUGAAAGUUUGUUUAAUGGUGAGUGUUUAGAACCACUAUUAGUAGACAUGAUUCAUUGGGUUAAUUGGGAGCUUAAGAGUAGCCUAAAUCCCUACUCUAAGUUCCGAGUGUAAGCUUUCUUAUACCUGUCAUUUAAUUCACAAAAUGUGUUAUUGUCUGAUGUGAAUUGAGUAUUAAGUUGUGAUAAUGUGACAUAUGAUAUAUACUUGUGAUGGCUAUUGUGAAUGUAUUAAUUUUGGGUAUGUUAUACAUACCAUGACAGUGAUGAUGUUGUGCUUAUUAUGUGAAUAUGCAAUGAAAGUGUGCAGAAAAUGGUAAGUAAAAAUAUCUGUAUAAUUGCAGAGAUUUUGGCAUCGUGAUCAUUGAGACCAUUGGAUAUAGUUGACAUGCCGUAGGAUUUUUGAGUACUUACCCUUUUGUUAUGUUUUUGGGGCAUUAAGGCCUGGGAAAAUUUUGGAAAGAUAAGGGAAUGUGAGCUCAGCUUCAUUCACCAUGAUAUGUUGGUGUGUUGGAGAGUGUUAACUAAAUGCCAUGCUUUUGGGAUAUGUUCGACUCAUCGAGUCAUUGGUGUGUUGGAGAUCCGUGUAUUCAAUGUGUGGUGAUAAAGCCCACUUUUAUGUUUCAUAGCUUAAGUGUCAAAUUAUCGUUGAAUGUAAUAUUAUGAUAUGUGAUGUAUGCAUAUUUAUUAUGUAAAUGCAAAGUUAGAAGAGUUGGUAAUUGAUUCAUGAGUAUUAUAAUAUGUUACUAUAGUUCUACAUGUAUGUGAAUUUGAUUUGGAUGUUUCAUUUAACACAUGAUAUCAUGUUUAUUUGGUGGUCUUUUCGAUCAUUCAUUGAACUUGUUUAAGCUUACCCGCUCUUUUUAAAUCUUGCAGACAGUUAGGGUUGCAGUGUAAGCGUUGCGAGAUUCCAAGGGAGUGAUCCAAGUUAGGCUUUAGAUUUUAAGAUGGUGUAAGUCGUAUUAUUCUUUGAACUAUAGGAAUAAAGCAAUGUGGUAGACUUUUUGGUUGAUCGUUAUUAUGUCUUAAAUAGUUAAUAUGAUCUAGACUUUUAAGAAUUGACAUUAUGUUAUUGGUUUGUCUUAGCUUGGAAAUAUUGAUGAUGCUUUGAGUUGCAAUUUUGGAUACUUUUGAUGUUGAAUUGUGAAGUUAUAGAUGCAUGAUGAAUUGGUAUAUGUUUAGUUGUGUUAAAUGCCCUGUUUUGUUAUAAUUUUUGCUAUUUUGUACAGAGGUAUUGAUAAUAUGGG